GUUGGAUUAGCUAGUUGGUGGGGUAAAGGCCUACCAAGGCGACGAUCCAUAGCUGGUCUGAGAGGAUGAUCAGCCACACUGGGACUGAGACACGGCCCAGACUCCUACGGGAGGCAGCAGUGGGGAAUAUUGGACAAUGGGCGCAAGCCUGAUCCAGCCAUGCCGCGUGAGUGAUGAAGGCCCUAGGGUUGUAAAGCUCUUUCACCGGUGAAGAUAAUGACGGUAACCGGAGAAGAAGCCCCGGCUAACUUCGUGCCAGCAGCCGCGGUAAUACGAAGGGGGCUAGCGUUGUUCGGAAUUACUGGGCGUAAAGCGCACGUAGGCGGAUCGUUAAGUGAGGGGUGAAAUCCCAGGGCUCAACCCUGGAACUGCCUCUCAUACUGGCGAUCUCGAGUUCGAGAGAGGUGAGUGGAAUUGCGAGUGUAGAGGUGAAAUUCGUAGAUAUUCGCAGGAACACCAGUGGCGAAGGCGGCUCACUGG
RNAcentral lists this ribosomal RNA (480 nucleotides) under uncultured Alphaproteobacteria bacterium. RNAcentral describes it as "bacterial SSU rRNA". It matches the Rfam family "Bacterial small subunit ribosomal RNA", at positions 235 to 732 of the family's 1533-position model. Lineage: Bacteria; Pseudomonadati; Pseudomonadota; Alphaproteobacteria. The record is from RNAcentral.